UGAGGAAUAUUGGUCAAUGGGCGUAAGCCUGAACCAGCCAAGUCGCGUGAGGGAUGAAGGUUCUAUGGAUCGUAAACCUCUUUUAUAAGGGAAUAAAGUGCGGGACGUGUCCCGUUUUGUAUGUACCUUAUGAAUAAGGAUCGGCUAACUCCGUGCCAGCAGCCGCGGUAAUACGGAGGAUCCGAGCGUUAUCCGGAUUUAUUGGGUUUAAAGGGAGCGUAGAUGGAUGUUUAAGUCAGUUGUGAAAGUUUGCGGCUCAACCGUAAAAUUGCAGUUGAUACUGGAUAUCUUGAGUGCAGUUGAGGCAGGCGGAAUUCGUGGUGUAGCGGUGAAAUGCUUAGAUAUCACGAAGAACUCCGAUUGCGAAGGCAGCCUGCUAAGCUGCAACUGACAUUGAGGCUCGAAAGUGUGGGUAUCAAACAGGAUUAGAUACCCUGGUAGUCCACACGGUAAACGAUGAAUACUCGCUGUUUGCGAUAUACUGCAAGCGGCCAAGCGAAAGCGUUAAGUAUUCCACCUGGGGAGUACGCCGGCAACGGUGAAACUCAAAGGAAUUGACGGGGGCCCGCACAAGCGGAGGAACAUGUGGUUUAAUUCGAUGAUACGCGAGGAACCUUACCCGGGCUUGAAUUGCAGACGAAUUGCUUGGAAACAGGCAAGCCGCAAGGCGUCUGUGAAGGUGCUGCAUGGUUGUCGUCAGCUCGUGCCGUGAGGUGUCGGCUUAAGUGCCAUAACGAGCGCAACCCUCGUGUCCAGUUACUAGCAGGUUAUGCUGAGGACUCUGGACAGACUGCCAUCGUAAGAUGUGAGGAAGGUGGGGAUGACGUCAAAUCAGCACGGCCCUUACGUCCGGGGCUACACACGUGUUACAAUGGGGGGUACAGCAGGCAGCUACCGGGCGACCGGAUGCCAAUCCCGAAAGCCUCUCUCAGUUCGGACUGGAGUCUGCAACCCGACUUCGUGAAGCUGGAUUCGCUAGUAAUCGCGCAUCAGCCACGGCGCGGUGAAUACGUUCCC
Molecule: ribosomal RNA, 1017 nt
Filed under: uncultured bacterium
Lineage: Bacteria
Description: bacterial SSU rRNA
Rfam family: Bacterial small subunit ribosomal RNA
Source: RNAcentral